GACAGAGGGUGCAAGCGUUGUUCGGAAUUACUGGGCGUAAAGCGCGCGUAGGCGGUGAAGUGUGUCUGGUGUGAAAUCCCUCGGCUCAACCGGGGAACGGCAUUGGAAACUACUUCGCUGGAGUUCAGGAGAGGGUGGCGGAAUUCCUGGUGUAGAGGUGAAAUUCGUAGAUACCAGGAGGAACACCGGAGGCGAAGGCGGCCACCUGGCCUGAUACUGACGCUCAGGCGCGAAAGCGUGGGGAGCAAAC
RNAcentral lists this ribosomal RNA (250 nucleotides) under uncultured bacterium. RNAcentral describes it as "partial 16S ribosomal RNA". It matches the Rfam family "Bacterial small subunit ribosomal RNA", at positions 524 to 773 of the family's 1533-position model. The record is from RNAcentral.